This 92-nucleotide transfer RNA is filed under the name subsurface metagenome. RNAcentral describes it as "tRNA-Leu". It matches the Rfam family "tRNA". From Rfam's summary of the family: Transfer RNA (tRNA) molecules are approximately 80 nucleotides in length. Their secondary structure includes four short double-helical elements and three loops (D, anti-codon, and T loops). The record is from RNAcentral.
GGAGACGUGUACGAAUGGCUUAUACAGUGCGACUUAAAAUCGCUUGGAGUGAUAAUAUCACUCCCGAGGGUUCGAAUCCCUCCGUCUCCUCC